GAUGAACGCUGGCGGCGUGCCUAAUACAUGCAAGUCGAGCGAACAGACGAGGAGCUUGCUCCUCUGACGUUAGCGGCGGACGGGAGAGUAACACGUGGAUAACCUACCUAUAAGACUGGGAUAACUUCGGGAAACCGGAGCUAAUACCGGAUAAUAUAUUGAACCGCAUGGUUCAAUAGUGAAAGACGGUUUUGCUGUCACUUAUAGAUGGAUCCGCGCCGCAUUAGCUAGUUGGUAAGGUAACGGCUUACCAAGGCAACGAUGCGUAGCCGACCUGAGAGGGUGAUCGGCCACACUGGAACUGAGACACGGUCCAGACUCCUACGGGAGGCAGCAGUAGGGAAUCUUCCGCAAUGGGCGAGAGCCUGACGGAGCAACGCCGCGUGAGUGAUGAAGGUCUUCGGAUCGUAAAACUCUGUUAUUAGUGAAGAACAAAUGUGUAAGUAACUAUGCACGUCUUGACGGUACCGAAUCAGAAAGCCACGGCUAACUACGUG
Molecule: ribosomal RNA, 497 nt
Filed under: uncultured bacterium
Lineage: Bacteria
Description: partial 16S ribosomal RNA
Rfam family: Bacterial small subunit ribosomal RNA
Source: RNAcentral